UACGUAGGGUGCAAGCGUUGUUCGGAAUUACUGGGCGUAAAGCGCGCGUAGGCGGAUUGGAAAGUCGAUUGUGAAAUCCCUGGGCUCAACCUAGGAAUUGCAGUCGAAACUCCCAAUCUUGAGUGCCUGAGAGGAUGGCGGAAUUCCCGGUGUAGUAGUGAAAUACGUAGAUAUCGGGAAGAACACCUGAGGCGAAGGCGGCUAUCUGGCGGUGCACUGACGCUGAGGCGCGAAAGCGUGGGGAGCAAACAGG
This 253-nucleotide ribosomal RNA is filed under the name uncultured bacterium. RNAcentral's name for it is "partial 16S ribosomal RNA". It matches the Rfam family "Bacterial small subunit ribosomal RNA", at positions 524 to 776 of the family's 1533-position model. The record is from RNAcentral.